Quercus lobata is the source of this 785-nucleotide long non-coding RNA. RefSeq lists it as uncharacterized. The record is from RefSeq and is a predicted model, not a curated record. The transcript is spliced from 2 exons. NCBI's taxonomy places the organism in Eukaryota, Viridiplantae, Streptophyta, Magnoliopsida, Fagales, Fagaceae.
GGAUGUAUUUGAUGAUUGAGUUCAUGAUUUUUAAAAUGAUGGUUAUCUAAGGCUUGUUGUGGUGAAAAUUUAGAGGUUUUGAGUUAUAAUAUGUGAUAGAUGAUGAAUAUAAUUUUUAUUGAUUAUUUGGAGCUAGUUAAAGAUUUAAAUUGUUUGUCUUGGAGAAAAUUAUGAUUUUGGUGUCAUGGGUCACUUGAUGAUGUUAUAAAAAUCUUGUGGGAAGCACUUGUAAAGUGUGGAGGUUUUGAUGUUAGAUAUGAUACCUUGAAAGAUUUAUGAGUAUAAAUGGGAGUCUAUGCCUUGCAAAUUAAAGUGUUUUGAGAAAUUUUGGAAGUAGAAUACAUUAUAUGUGAGGUUGAAUACUAGGCUUGCCUAAUUGAGUUCUUACUUGGCAAUUCCUAAUUUGUAGUUAGAUACAAUUUCAAGCUUUGUGUUCAUUGUGAUAGAUUUGCUUGACAUUGUUUAGGUUUUAGCUAAUCUCCCCUUGGAGCUUGGAGAAUUAGGAUUUUGCGGUUGCGAGAGUAGGCAACAAUCUUUUGAGACAGCUUUUUUGGUGGCUAAUAGUAGUUAGACUAACUACUGAUGGAGGCUGAAUUUUUGUAAUGGAUAUAUUAGAUGGUGUACAUCUUAGACUAGGCUUGACUCAUUCUUUUGUAUAUUAUAGUGGUUAUGACUGUAUUUCCACUGAUGGGACAAGCUGUUGUUAUGUAAUAGUUUUAUUCAGACCUCUAUUCUUUUGUGGCCUAUGGUCCUUAUAAUUAAUGCUUAGAGCUCUGACUUACUCU